CAAAUGGGUAAAGGUCACUUCACAACCAACAUUAUCACUGGUAUAUAAUGUCAAAAUGUCUCUAAGACAGUUUUAGAGUUUGCGCCCUUGGUAUAAUGAUCAUUUAUCGCACUGUUCACUGGAAAUAAAAAAGACAUCUCUCACCUGAACUGAAGACCGGCUCCCCUCCCCCUUCUCUAACUGCACUUUCAAAAAUAGGCGGAAUGGAAACAGAAUAUUCCAAAAGAGUCUAUCAGGGGGUCAGAGUCAAACAUACCGUGAAGGACCUGCUGGCAGAGAAAAGAUCGAGACAGACCAACGUGCCCAGGUUCAAUGGCGGAGCAAAUUCUUCACAGCCUGCUUUUGUCCAAAUGUCAGGUAAGCCUUUGAAAGCUUUUAGCAAAACAGGCAUUUGUUCCUA
This is a non-coding RNA of Lepisosteus oculatus (spotted gar), 400 nucleotides long. The record is from RefSeq and is a predicted model, not a curated record. NCBI's taxonomy places the organism in Eukaryota, Metazoa, Chordata, Actinopteri, Semionotiformes, Lepisosteidae.